RNAcentral lists this ribosomal RNA (433 nucleotides) under uncultured bacterium. RNAcentral's name for it is "partial 16S ribosomal RNA". It matches the Rfam family "Bacterial small subunit ribosomal RNA", at positions 29 to 506 of the family's 1533-position model. The record is from RNAcentral.
AGCGAACGCUGGCGGCAGGCCUAACACAUGCAAGUCGAACGAACCUUUCGGGGUUAGUGGCGGACGGGUGAGUAACACGUGGGAACGUGCCUUUAGGUUCGGAAUAACUCAGGGAAACUUGUGCUAAUACCGAAUGUGCCCUUCGGGGGAAAGAUUUAUCGCCCUUAGAGCGGCCCGCGUCUGAUUAGCUAGUUGGUUGAGGUAAUGGCUCACCAAGGCGACGAUCAGUAGCUGGUCUGAGAGGAUGAUCAGCCACAUUGGGACUGAGACACGGCCCAAACUCCUACGGGAGGCAGCAGUGGGGAAUCUUGCGCAAUGGGCGAAAGCCUGACGCAGCCAUGCCGCGUGAAUGAUGAAGGUCUUAGGAUUGUAAAAUUCUUUCACCGGGGACGAUAAUGACGGUACCCGGAGAAGAAGCCCCGGCUAACUUCGU